Molecule: ribosomal RNA, 497 nt
Filed under: uncultured bacterium
Lineage: Bacteria
Description: partial 16S ribosomal RNA
Rfam family: Bacterial small subunit ribosomal RNA
Source: RNAcentral
GAUGAACGCUGGCGGCGUGCCUAAUACAUGCAAGUCGAGCGAACGGACGAGAAGCUUGCUUCUCUGAUGUUAGCGGCGGACGGGUGAGUAACACGUGGAUAACCUACCUAUAAGACUGGGAUAACUUCGGGAAACCGGAGCUAAUACCGGAUAAUAUUUUGAACCGCAUGGUUCAAAAGUGAAAGACGGUCUUGCUGUCACUUAUAGAUGGAUCCGCGCUGCAUUAGCUAGUUGGUAAGGUAACGGCUUACCAAGGCAACGAUGCGUAGCCGACCUGAGAGGAUGAUCAGGCACACUGGGACUGAGACACGGACCAGACUCCUACGGGAGGCAGCAGUGGGGAAUGUUGGACAAUGGGCGAAAGCCUGAUACAGCAAGGCCGCGUGGGUGAAGAAGGCCUUCGGGUUGUAAAGCACUUUUGUCAGGAAAGAAAUCCGUGGACAGAAAACGGUCGGGGGAUGACGGUACCGGAAGAAUAAGCACCGGCUAACUACGUG